AACGUAGGGGGCCAGCGUUGCUCGGAAUUACUGGGCGUAAAGGGUCUGUAGGCGGUGCGGCAAGUCGGAAGUGAAAUCGCAGGGCUUAACUCUGCGGCUGCUUCCGAAACUGCCGUGCUCGAGUGUGAGAUAGGCGAGUGGAACUGCAGGUGUAGCGGUGAAAUGCGUAGAUAUCUGCAGGAACAUCCGAGGCGAAAGCGGCUCGCUGGAUCACAACUGACGCUGAGGCACGAAAGCGUGGGGAGCAAACAGG
This 253-nucleotide ribosomal RNA is filed under the name uncultured bacterium. RNAcentral's name for it is "partial 16S ribosomal RNA". It matches the Rfam family "Bacterial small subunit ribosomal RNA", at positions 524 to 776 of the family's 1533-position model. The record is from RNAcentral.